Molecule: long non-coding RNA, 2847 nt
Filed under: Olea europaea subsp. europaea
Lineage: Eukaryota; Viridiplantae; Streptophyta; Magnoliopsida; Lamiales; Oleaceae
Source: RNAcentral
AAAGGUAUUAUGGGCUCAAAUCUGAGCUCGAACGCCAAACCUGCAAUAUAAUAUUUUUUUUCAUUUUCAAUUCAACUGUUCUCAAUCCACUUGACUAUCCAUUCUACAUCAGUUGAUCAAAAUUUUAAUAGUUUGUGAUUUUUCGAUAACAUAUUAGUGCUUCUUAAAUUGUAUAUGGAGUCCAUUACACUUGUCAAAGGGAAUAAUAUAAGCAUGUCUUCAUAGUAAUUCUCGCUUAUUCCUGCUGCCCUUCCUCUGUCUUGUGAAGUUGCAACACCAUUGGUUGCCUUGUAACGAUACCUAAAAAAAAGAUAAAAAAAAAAAAAAAAAAAAAAGGGAUAAACAAAUGGAUAGCAUUAAUUAAAUAUUUAUUCCAAGUUUAUCAGAUUAAAGGUCGGGGCUUACCAAAGUUAUGGAAAAGGAAAUCUCGUCCUACUAUGCUCUCCAACAUAGAAGACUUCCCUGAACUUUGUUCUGAGCUCAAACCAAAAUUCGAAAACCCACAUAAAAGCAUGUUUGGCUUACCCUAGCAAAAAGUAAAAAAUUAAGUAAUUUCUAAUUUCUAAAUAUAUUUUGAAAGGUUACUUUCAAGAAAAAUGAUAUUUAUUUCGAAAGAAGCUUUUAACUUAUUUCCAAUUUUUAUAUUUAUUUUGAAACCUGCUUACUUGCAAGGGAACUGAAUCAAUCCUACUUUUUUUUACUUUUUAUUUGAUUUAUGUACAACCCUUUUCAUACAAAGAUCUACCUUUCUUGUUCAACCUUGCUGUCAAUUCUAAAUUAAAUUACUUCUACAUUUUUAAGUCUACCUUGAACAAUCUUAAAUCAUUUUUCUCCUGGCAACACUAUUUCUCUUACUUCAACAAUGUGCUAAUGUCUAAUUUAAUACAUUUUUUAAAUGUAUAUACUUGACACACAUUCAAAUACUUAUCAUUAUUCCUUAGGAGCUAAAAUUCAAUUAAUGUCAAGUAAUGCUCACAAAAAAUGCAAAAUGAAAAACCAAUAUCAAAAUUCAAAAUUGAGAGACUCCGCUUCAAACUUAAUCCCAGUAUGUUCUUCUUGCUUAUCUUUAACACUUUUCCUCGACUAUCAAUCCAAUGUAUCCAAAUAGCUAAUGUAAACGAACUUGUUGCACGUCAAAUUGAGGAGGUAAAGGCCUAAAUUUAAACCUCAAGAAAGUCAUUAGACAAGCACUUAAUUUUGUCGGGAAUUGACUUUGUAUUAUCCUACAUAGAAUAAGAAUUGAAAUUAUAAUGUCACAUUUGGAAUAUGAAUUAAUUUGUUUGUCCUGUGUUACAAGAAUGAGUUGAUUUGUUUCCUACAUCCGAAAGGAAUAGUUAGCUAACCUCUUUUGUGCACACAUAAUAGGAGACUCCACCUUAUAUUUUCACCAUUUCAAGGUUGAGAUGGUUGUAGACUAUCUUAGGCUAAGACUUAGAAGAUCAUUUGUAGACUCCCAUGUAUGUAUUUUGUAGUGUAUUUGGGGGUUUGGAAAUUGUGAGUACGUGUAAUUGUAGCAAUUUUUCACAUUUGUAUAAAUCUUUGUUUUCUAAAAUCUGGUUUUCACAUUAACACAUCAAUAUGCUACAAUAUGAAACUUCGUAAAUAACAUUCCAAAUUUUCCAAUUAUAUGUGUCAUACAUUAUUCAACAGGAGGAAACUCCUUACCCUGUCAACUAUCCACCCACCACUUGGUAUAUCUCUGUAGAAUUUCUCAUUAUAUUUCACUAAUUUUAAAUUAACUCUUUGGCUGCAUUCAUAUAAAUAUAAUAAAAAGUAAUUAACUUACUAUUGAGAUUGUUAUACAUAAACAAGUCCAAGCAAUUAGACACUUGUCAUUUCGGUUGGGGUCUCCAACAUAGGAAGUCAUUAGCAUUCAACGGAUCCACCACUUGAAAUAGGUCAAAGUUAUUCCCCUCUUCAAUUUUUUUCCUGCUUGUAGAUAUAGAAGGUAAGAAGGAUUUCUUCGAGGCUCUAGAGUAUUUCACCCUAAUAUGUUAUAGAUAAGCAAGAAAAAACCCUGUCGAUUUGAUGUAAAAACAUUGGUGCUCAGUAAUGAUGCAAUCAGUAUGCCCACUACCAUUAAAAGGGAACAUUGAUUACUAUAUGCGAAUCAUCCUCAUAAAUCAUAACAAACACUUGCAGGCAACAUUUGUAUAAAGAAAAAAGAACAGAACAUGCAAAGAAUUGUGAAAGCUGAUAUGCAUUCCAUACUGAUUUAUAUGAUCAAUGGAGAGCACAUCAUCCACAACUUCAAUAGUACAAGCCAGAGAAAUGUAUUACUAGUAAAAUGAAGAUGCUUCUAGAAGAUUCAGCAUAGAGCUUGCCCGAGAUCAACCAUAUAUUGUAAGCUUUGAAACGAAUGCACAUCAUUAUAUUAAUCUCCAGAUCUCCAAGUUUUUUUAAGGCUACAUAACUCGCUCAUAUUCUAAUUUUUUUACUUAUUCCUCAAACUAAUACUUAUAGUCAGUGUUAACUGAAAAGAAUAAUUGUGAUCUCAAAAUUGGCUAUGCAGAAAAAUGUAGUAUCUAUUUCAACCCAGUUGGGAGUGUAGGAUUAAUUUCUCAACAAUGUAAUUUAUUGACAUGAAUUAUUGAAAUGUGUAAUUGCACAACGUAAUUAUUCAUUCCUCAAAAUGGGGCUCUAGCAUUAGUUUCUCUAUAAGCUUGUAACUAUAUUUUUUGAGCAAUUAACAAGAUGGAUUAUCAAGAAAAUAACAACCUUAGAUUUGAAGUUCCAAUAUAAGUUCAUUAAGGCCACCAGUAUUCACCGACUCCCUGUGCACAAGAAUUGUUUCCUAAAAAUAAUAAGUUCAACGAGCUAAGGAUAUGCCAACAUACUAACAUGUGG